GAUGAACGCUGGCGGCGUGCUUAACACAUGCAAGUCGAACGAAACACCUUAUUUGAUUUUCUUCGGAACUGAAGAUUUGGUGAUUGAGUGGCGGACGGGUGAGUAACGCGUGGGUAACCUGCCCUGUACAGGGGGAUAACAGUCAGAAAUGACUGCUAAUACCGCAUAAGACCACAGCACCGCAUGGUGUAGGGGUAAAAACUCCGGUGGUACAGGAUGGACCCGCGUCUGAUUAGCUGGUUGGUGAGGUAACGGCUCACCAAGGCGACGAUCAGUAGCCGGCUUGAGAGAGUGAACGGCCACAUUGGGACUGAGACACGGCCCAAACUCCUACGGGAGGCAGCAGUGGGGAAUAUUGCACAAUGGGGGAAACCCUGAUGCAGCGACGCCGCGUGAGUGAAGAAGUAUCUCGGUAUGUAAAGCUCUAUCAGCAGGGAAGAAAA
Molecule: ribosomal RNA, 443 nt
Filed under: uncultured bacterium
Lineage: Bacteria
Description: bacterial SSU rRNA
Rfam family: Bacterial small subunit ribosomal RNA
Source: RNAcentral